AGUGGUUAAUGUUUGGCUGCUAACUGAAAGGUCAGUGGUUCAAACCCACUAGCCACUA
Molecule: transfer RNA, 58 nt
Filed under: Loxodonta africana (African savanna elephant)
Lineage: Eukaryota; Metazoa; Chordata; Mammalia; Proboscidea; Elephantidae
Source: Rfam by way of RNAcentral